UCUCCGUAGGUGAACCUGCGGAGGGAUCAUUAACACGAUCAAUCAAUUUGUUUUUUUUCUUAUUUUGAUUAUUCAAGAAAAAGAAGAAAAAAUAUUGAAAAACCAAAAAAAAACAAACACCAAAUUUAACUUUUAAAAAAAAAGGUUUUGUAUGAGUUUUUUAAAAAGCUUUUCCCUUUUUUUUUGUGAACUUGUUUACCCUUUUAAACUUAUUAAAUAUAUAUAUAUAUUUUAAAUAUAUAUAUAUAUUUCAAAAACAACAUGAACAAAAUUCUCGGAUUUUGUUACUUAUAUUAAAUAAUAUAUAAAUAAAAAAAAAAAGAACAACUCUUAGCAAUGGAUAUCUUGGUUCUC
RNAcentral lists this unclassified non-coding RNA (354 nucleotides) under plant metagenome. RNAcentral describes it as "partial contains small subunit ribosomal RNA, internal transcribed spacer 1, and 5.8S ribosomal RNA". The record is from RNAcentral.